Molecule: long non-coding RNA, 326 nt
Filed under: Elaeis guineensis (African oil palm)
Lineage: Eukaryota; Viridiplantae; Streptophyta; Magnoliopsida; Arecales; Arecaceae
Description: long non-coding RNA (EGUI_LNC010909)
Source: RNAcentral
GGUUACGUAACUUCUUUUCUUCCUCAUUCAAGAGGAGAUUUGCAUUAGGAAAAAAAAUUAUAUAUCAUGGAAAAGAGUAAGUUGAGGAGCUCAAUUUUUACUAUUUAAAUUAUAUAUCAUGAUAUCAAUUUUUAGUAUUUAAACUAGCUUGGAAUCCCGUAUGAUGGACAGCAUGUAAUUAUUUUUUUUUAAAUAAUAUUUUUAUAAAUUAAAAAUCUAACAUAAUAUAAAAGACAUCAUAGAUGAUAUCAAAUAUUUUAAAUAAAAAUAUAAAGUCAAAUUAUUUAAAUAAUAUUAUAGUAAUCGAAGAAGAUAGAAAAGCCCAC